This 642-nucleotide ribosomal RNA is filed under the name Salmonella enterica. Its description in RNAcentral is "bacterial SSU rRNA". It matches the Rfam family "Bacterial small subunit ribosomal RNA", at positions 1 to 632 of the family's 1533-position model. Lineage: Bacteria; Pseudomonadati; Pseudomonadota; Gammaproteobacteria; Enterobacterales; Enterobacteriaceae. The record is from RNAcentral.
AAAUUGAAGAGUUUGAUCAUGGCUCAGAUUGAACGCUGGCGGCAGGCCUAACACAUGCAAGUCGAACGGUAACAGGAAGCAGCUUGCUGCUUCGCUGACGAGUGGCGGACGGGUGAGUAAUGUCUGGGAAACUGCCUGAUGGAGGGGGAUAACUACUGGAAACGGUGGCUAAUACCGCAUAACGUCGCAGGACCAAAGAGGGGGACCUUCGGGCCUCUUGCCAUCAGAUGUGCCCAGAUGGGAUUAGCUUGUUGGUGAGGUAACGGCUCACCAAGGCGACGAUCCCUAGCUGGUCUGAGAGGAUGACCAGCCACACUGGAACUGAGACACGGUCCAGACUCCUACGGGAGGCAGCAGUGGGGAAUAUUGCACAAUGGGCGCAAGCCUGAUGCAGCCAUGCCGCGUGUAUGAAGAAGGCCUUCGGGUUGUAAAGUACUUUCAGCGGGGAGGAAGGUGUUGUGGUUAAUAACCACAGCAAUUGACGUUACCCGCAGAAGAAGCACCGGCUAACUCCGUGCCAGCAGCCGCGGUAAUACGGAGGGUGCAAGCGUUAAUCGGAAUUACUGGGCGUAAAGCGCACGCAGGCGGUCUGUCAAGUCGGAUGUGAAAUCCCCGGGCUCAACCUGGGAACUGCAUUCGAAA